This 305-nucleotide ribosomal RNA is filed under the name uncultured bacterium. Its description in RNAcentral is "bacterial SSU rRNA". It matches the Rfam family "Bacterial small subunit ribosomal RNA", at positions 336 to 637 of the family's 1533-position model. The record is from RNAcentral.
CUCCUACGGGACGCAGCAGAGAGGAAUAUUGGUCAAUGGGCGGAAGCCUGAACCAGCCAAGUCGCGUGAGGGAAUAAGGCCCUACGGGUCGUAAACCUCUUUUGCCGGGGAGCAAGGGCGGGGACGUGUCCCGGCCCGGAGAGUACCCGGAGAAAAAGCAUCGGCUAACUCCGUGCCAGCAGCCGCGGUAAUACGGAGGAUGCGAGCGUUAUCCGGAUUUAUUGGGUUUAAAGGGAGCGCAGGCGGCACGGCAAGCCUGAUGUGAAAGCCCGCGGCCCAACCGCGGGACUGCAUUGGGAACUACC